AUGGCCCGCCCUCCGGCGAACGGCGUACCGGCGCCGCAGCCUCCGCCACCUCCCCCAGGCCGCUGCCACUUCUGGCUCCCCAACAAGCGCCGCCACUGCGCCAACUCCCCUAUCCCAUCCUCCCAGUACUGCGGGAACCACUCGCCGGAGUCCUCCUCCGACUCGCGCCGCCGAGUCCCCUGCCCCGUCGACCCCUCCCACACGGUGUUCGAGGAGAACCUGGAGGCUCACGUCGGCAAGUGCCCCUUCAGGAAGCAGGCCGACGCCCUUGCCGGGCAGCCGUACUACUCCAAGGGCAUCAACUCCGGAGGGGGAGAUGCCGGUGGCGCCGCCGUCACCUCCGCCUCCAAGCGCGCUUCCGUGCACAAGCUCUCAGAGGAGGAGUUCUGGGCCUUGGUUGGGAAGAUCCGGUCGGCGCACGCUGCGGCGGCCGUCCAAAUGCGCGAGUCCUACAUCGCCCCAGACGCCUGUGAUAAGUGGAUGAAGGGGCAGGUUGAUAGGAAGGUGCCGUAUCAGGAGAAGCACGUUGUGCAGCAGGUGUCGAUCGUGGGGAACAUGGAAACAUUUGGUCUGCUGCCGAGGGGUGGCGCUGAGGAUGCAACGAAGGAGAUCGCGUUGAAGAAUGCUCCGGCAGUUGUUGAAUUUGGUGCUGGGAGGGGUUACUUGACUCAGAUGUUGGCAGACUGUUAUGGGAUCAAGAAUAUCUUCUUGGUCGAGAGACGAGCGUACAAGCUCAAGGCUGAUCGAAGUUUAAGGCAAAAUGAGGGUGUUAAAUUGGAGCGUUUGAGGAUAGAUAUUGAGGAUUUGAACCUGCAUGGAGUAAAAGCGUUGAGUGGAAGUCAGUAUCUAGCAAUCGGAAAACAUCUAUGUGGGCCUGCAACAGAUAUGACCAUAAUGUGCUGUCUUCAUGAACUACACAAUCAUACAGAAGAGAAAGGCCAUGACAAGCAUCAUCUCCGGGGCCUUGCUUUAGCCACCUGCUGCCACCAUCUUUGCCAAUGGAAGCAUUAUGCAAGUAAUUACAGCUUGCCAAGCCUUGCAGCAAAUUCUGUUUGGGAUAUAUCAUGCCACUUACCGCUUAGUUGCAUAAUCAUUUUUUUUGUGAUUGCAGAUAAAGCUUUCCUCUCUGGACUAGGGAUUGCGGAGGAAGAGUUCCAUGCCAUGACAUGGUUUAGCAGUUGGGCUGUGGAUGGAGACCACAGCUCCCAGGACUCUUUGGGGUCUGAAGACUCGUCUUCUGAAGUAAUCAGAGGAACCGAGAAGCCUGAUCCGGAGAUUGUCGGAGUCGACAGGAUCAUCCGCGGUAUACCGGGUGUGGAGAGGAGCGCACUGGGAUUCAUGUGCAAAGAUAUCAUUGACACCGGGAGGAUGCUAUGGCUUAGAUCUAAGGGUCUAGAUGCAGACCUCGUAAGCUAUGUUCAGUCAGAUAUUUCGCCGGAGAACCAUUUGCUCAUGGCCAAGUGUAAGUCUUGA
Molecule: ribosomal RNA, 1473 nt
Filed under: Triticum aestivum (bread wheat)
Lineage: Eukaryota; Viridiplantae; Streptophyta; Magnoliopsida; Poales; Poaceae
Description: partial small subunit ribosomal RNA
Source: RNAcentral